UUGAUCAGAAAUGAAAUCAUAUUAUCUGAAUUAUUAUUAAGGUCACAUAUAGUGAUAAAGAAUAUUUUAAAUUUCCAUCUAUAGCUAUAGCUUGAAAAAUGCUUCCUUUCGCAAAAUUUCUCAAACUUUUCCAUAAGUACCUUUCAUCCAAUUAAAGUAAAUAUAUUUUUAUUGGUUUGACAACAUAAGCUAACCAACUCUAACAAGUGUCUCACCAAACUUUGUAUUUUAUUUAAACAUUUAUACAACAUUUGCAUUUUACUAUCAAUCAUAUGCUUGUCUAUUUUAAUAUGAAUUUUGUGUUACCCCUUCACUAUAACCACUUGCUUAUAUAUAACUUCAAGUCCCUUGCCUCUCUUUUAUUCUUUGUUCUAUGCUGUGGAAUCCCAGUUCAUUAAAUCUAACUUUUGUUUUACUCCUGGCCUGCAUCUGAAAAAGGCUGGAGAAGGAAGGAAGGAAGGAAGGAAGGAAGGAAGGAAGGACGGACGGACAGGCAAGGAAAGAAAAGGAAGAAAGGGAGGGAGGAAAGGAGGAAGAAAGACAAACUCAUGACCAUGCUGACUGAUCUCAUUUUAAAUUUGUAAUUCCUAAUCUCAAUUGGACUACUCCUGCAAGCCUCCAGUCAUUCUUCCAUUAUCCUAGAGAAUAAUUUCACAUCCUUUGCCGCAGACCUCUAGUAUAUCUCAGUAUUAAUGUUUGCAAUUAAAACAGUGGCCCAGAGUCAUAAGGUAAACAUCCUACCUAGGGCUGGUUGAUUUAAUACUUGACCCCCAUUGUGCCCAACACUGACCCAAAUCCAUAUGGAAAACUGACGCUCCUUUUUCAAGACAUUUUACUAGCAUAUGUCGGAAUAUUGUUGAACUAGCUAUGCAUAUCUAGGAUGAAUGUGAGCUUAAUGUACUUUUCAGAGUUGUGUAAUGCAUAGUUUUCAUAACUACAGUAACAGCUUAAGCUACAUUAAUAGGAUAUGAUCUUUUUUUUAUGUAAGUCAAGAUAUAAAAUAAAAUAGAAGUAUAGCUGUAAGAAAAAAAAUUUAUAAAUUCUAAACAAUUGAAGGAGAAAAACAAUUCAAAUAUUUGUCUCAUUGGACAGGGGAGGAAAGAAAGGGAAGAAAGGAAGAAGUAAGAUUAUUCUAAAGAUUUUCUCUUGAUUAAGGGCAGAGUGAAGAAUUAUAUGAGUUGGUGGGAAAACUAUGCAAUUAUAAUUGACAGCACAUUUACAAAUUAUAGUAGAAUAUUAUGUUUGCAAUUAAAACAGUAAGGAAAGCAAAAGCAAUUACUAAUAAAAGGAACAAUUGUAUGAACACUUCUCAAAUAAACAAGGGAAGAAAUGAAACUAAUGGCAAUUUGACUAAACCACAAAAAAUGGGGAAUUGCAAAAGCAGGAAUCAACAAUGUAAAAUUAGUUUCAAAAUACAGAGGUUAUCAAGUUGGAUUAAAAACUAAGAUAAAUAUGGUUUUAUAGUAGACACUUAAAAAACAAAGUGAUAAAUCAAGAUUUAAUGACAGAUUACUAUAAAAAUAGUCCCACUUGUCUAAGCAUGCUAUCUCUGUACUUUUUGUUGUAUAACUUUGCAUCUCCUCCCACCAAGAAGUAGAGUCUCUUAUCUCAGUCCUUGAAUCUGAACUAUUCUUGGGACUUGCUUUGGUUGAUUGAAAUGGAAAGAAGUGACAGUGUGCCAAUCUUGCAUAUUUCUGAAUAUCUCUUGGAAGCCUGCCACCAUCCUGAAAAAUUUCAGACUAAUGUGCUGGAGGGUGAUAGACCACAAGGAAGGAAGCCCAGUUGUCCCAUCUGAGGCCAUUCUAGAUGAAACUAUAGCCAGCUAACUCCCAAACAUUUGACAAAACCCAUAAUAGAUGAACAGUUUUGAGUAGAGAAAACAGUGUGCAAAAGAUAUGAACCAUCUAUUCUGCCUCAGCUAACAGCAACUCAGUCAAUACGGAGGAACUACCCAGUUGUCUCAUUAAAAAGAAUAUGUAGAUUAUGAUCUUAAGCUAAUAAAUUUUGGAGUGUUUUGCCACUGUUUCUGGGUGGUUUGUAUCAAUAGCUAAUCAUUACAUACUGAUAAAUAAAGGAGAUAAUGCACAAAUAUUAUAUAAAAGAAACAGGAUUGGUAAUAUUAAUACUGAACAGAUGAAAAUUAAAUUUGAAAAUAGUAAAUAGGAUAAAGAGUAAUUUGAUGAUCAAAGGCAUAAUUAAGAAGAUAUUGUAAGUAAAAAUGCAGAAAUUUCAAAGACCACUUUCUCUAAUAUUAAGCCAAUAAAACUAGAAGUAUGUUUUAAUUGCCAAAAAACUUACCAACUUGAUAAAAAUUAAUAAACAACUCCUGAGUAAUGUUUAGGUCACAGAGCAAAUAAAAAUAAAAAUCCUAAACCAUCUAUUAAGAAAUAAAAAAGGGGGGCACCUGAGUGGUUCAGUGGGUUAAGCCUCUGCCUUCAGCUCAGGUCAUGAACCCAGGGUGCUGGGAUGGAGUCCCGCAUCUGGCUCUCUGCUCAGCGGGGAGCCUGCUUCCUCCUCUCUGCCUGCCUCUCUGCCUCCUUGUGAUCUCUCUCUGUCCAAUAAAUAAAUAAAUAAAAAUCUUAAAAAAAAAAAAAAGAAAGAAAAAAGGAUAAUACUUUGCAACAAAUCUAAGCCCUAAGCAAAAGCAGUAUUUAGAAGAUAAAAGGAUAAGAAAGAUAGUCUUAAUUGCCACAAUUAUUAAAGAAGAACAAAAGUUCAUGAAAUCAGUAUCCUUCUUGUUAAGGAUUAGGGGAAAAAACUAAAUAAAUCAAAGGAAAUCAGAAAGAAUGAAUUAAUAAAUGUUCAAAUUAAUGAAUAAAAAAUAAAUUAAAAUAUCUGCAUAUGAGAAUUUAAUAUUGACAAACUAAUUCAAUACACUACAGAAAGAAUGACACCAUUAGUAAAUGCUGUUGUCACACAGACUUUCCAUCUGGAAGAAAAAAAUAUAUAGAUCAUUCUCUUAUCCAAUAUAGAAACAAUUCCACUGGAAUUAAAGACAAAAAAAAAUCUUAGAAAGCUAUAUAUACAAACGUAUGGUAUGCUGCUUAGUUAAGACUGAAUAUAUAAAAUCUGUAAAACGUGGAAAUAGGAUGAUACAAAGAUUUUAAAACUUUAUAUAAUGAAAUAUAUAAAAACUUUAAUAGAAAUAAAAUGGGUCUAGAAGAAUAUUUAAUUCAGAUCAUAAAUAAAGGAGUUAAUAUCUUUAUGACACUAAAUGAUCAGAAAUAAAGAAAAAUAGUCCAAAAGAAAAAAAAUGGGCAAAACUGCAAAUAGAUAUUUCAUAUCUAAGUCCAAAUGGUUAACAGAAAUAAAACAAGAUGUUCAAAUUCACUAGUAGUCAUGGAAAUGAAAAUUAAAUUAACAAUGAGAAAUGAUUUUACUCUCAUUAGGCUGGCAUAGAAUUUGAAAAGAGCUUUAAAAUUUAUUGCUGGUAGGAAUAUAGGGAAAGGGAUUGUCUUUUAUAUUGAGGGUAGAAAAAUAAAUUGUUUAGCCUUUUGAGGAAUCAGUAUUUCAACUUCCAUAAAGUUAAAACUAGAUAUACCAUUCACUCUAGCAAUUUUACUUCUAGCAGUAUAUCCUAAAGGAAUAAAAACCAUGUAAGGAUAUGGAUAGAAAUAUGUUUAUUGAGACUUUGAAUGUGAGGGCAAAAACUAGAAACCAAAUAGAUAUUCAUCAAUUGCUGAAUAAAAUAUGGCACAUCAUGAACUAUUACAGAGCCAUUUAAAAAGAAUGGGUUAGAGCUAUACAAGACAAUUAAGACAUAUUUCUGUUAGGAAGUUUGGAAGAGAAAAAGAACAAAUUUUGGAAGGAGUUAAUAAUAUGAUUAUAACGGGUAAGUAAAACCUAAUUUCAAAACCCAUAUUUAUCUAUUUGAACAUAUAGGCUUGUAUACCACUAUACAAUUCUGAACAGUUUGCAUUAAGGAAUGUAUGAAAAAGACAAAAGGGUAGGAGAAGGGAUGAGGAAAAGCCCAGCAUCCAUUCAACUCCAGAACCCUUCAUGCCUAUCCCAAGUUAAUGUAAAUAGCACUCCUGGAAUUGUAUGUGGCAGUUAUACAGUUGUAUAUGAAAGCUCUGAUAUCCACUGACAGAAGUUCUGUGUAGAGAAAAAUUAAUGAACCUUGUAUAUACAUGCAUUUGAUAAGCAAAGUUGCCUAAGUUUUCCAACAGCCUGCCCUAGUGUAUGGACUACAUGUUUGUGUUCCCCCUAACUCCCAAAUUCAUAUGGUGAAACCAUUACCUACAAUAGUAUUUGGAGAUGGGGACUUUUGAAGGUAAUUAUGAUUAAAUGAGGUAAUAAUGGUGAGGUUCUCUGGACGGGAUUAGUGCCCUUAUAAGGAGAGACAUCAAAGAACUUGAUCAUUCUCUCUUCACCACGAGAGGACAUAGCAGAGCAGACCAUCUGCAAGCCAGGAAGAGAGCUCUCAACAAAACCCAACCAAGCUGAUAUCCUGAUCCCAGAUUUCCAACCUUUGAAACUGUGAGAAAAAAAUAAUUCUAUUGUUUAAUCCACCCAGUCUAUGGUAUUUUUGUUAUGGUAGCUGAAGAACACUGAUGCACAUAGACUAGAGAAGGUUGAAGGUGGAAAUGAACACACCACAUUUUCUUUCCAAUUCCUGCUUUAAGAUAUACUUAACAUUAGUCAUAAUGCAUUGUGGAAAAAUACUUCAGAAUUUUAACACUUCCAUCAAAGAGCUCAUAAAGAGUCCAGGAGGAGCAACACGAAGACAAAAAUUAACUGUCAUAUAAGGAUAUCAAAAAUGCACCAACAGUUGCAGUAAAUAAAAGAUCUUCCACCAUGUGCAAUCCACGGGGAGAACACCAUUGGAGACCGAGGGAGCAGCCUGACCUUUCCCAGCACUUUCACUCUGUGUAGGAAGGAAGGAUUUCAUAGGAGUAGUUUCAGUAUUAACACAAAACUCCUCAUCUUGAAAUAUCUGGCCCUCUCAAGGUGCCACCCAGAGACUGUUCCAGAAAUCUACAGGAUGUCAGGAAACAUAUAUUACUGAGAAGGACUAUUGAAGAAUGAGAAAUCCUCUACUGAAGACACAGGAUCAAUAGGAAUUAUGUACUGAGAACCAAGGAAAAUAGAGUCUUGGACUGAGAGAUUGUGGCUGAUACCAAAAAGUUAAAAUAAGACCUCAAGGAUGGGCAAAUAUAGACAUGUUCAGUCUGUUUAGAGUAGACCACACAAUCAUGCCUGUGUACAUCAGUCAGUCUACUAGAUGAAGGGAAAUUAAGUGUUCAGAUUCCAUUUUUUUCUGCUUCUUUUCCCACACUGGAUGAGCCAAACUUUUCCCAAAGUAUGUACAACCUGGAUUAAAUGUCGCUUUUUCUUCCAUAACUGAUGGUUCAAAUGGAAAGGCCAUCGUCAAUCAUUGAACUCUAACCAGUCUGGUUCUGAGACAUAUUAAGUCCUUUGACCCCUGGGAGUGACCACACAUGCAGGAAUCACUGCCUCUGGAAUAAUUAGCAAUGCAGAGAUGGGGUGUUAAGAAUAUCCCUAAUUGCACUGACCAAAACCAGGUUAUCAGAAGGACAAUGGCAACUUAGAGUUCUCCAAAUUGGAGAAUUUGUUUCUGUUUUUCAGACUUUUUCUAAUAUGACAAAAUCAUAAUGCCUAGAAAGCCUAACAUAGAAAAUAAAAAUAAAAUAUGCUAUAGUUUAUUUAGCAUGACUAACCAUAUCAAUGAUAUUUCCAUGCCUUGUAAAAUCUGGCAGAAUCGUUCAUAUGUGAAAGUCUUUAUAGGUAAUGCCUAUGCCUGUACAAUUGCACUUUCUGUGUAAAGUUAAUGGAGCUCAGAUCUAUUGAACCCAUAAGGAAAAUAAUAAAUGUAAACUGGCAACCAUGUACCAAAUAACAUGCUGGCUGUUUUACAUAAAAUUAAUAUAUGCUCUAAAGUAACAGCAAAAUUACAUAUACCUUAGGAUGCUAGGAUAUUUUAAUUAUAUUAUCUGUUAAAGAGAUUGAGAUGAGUACACUUAUUGACAAGUUGUAUUUAUAUUCUAAUAAUGUUUUCUAAAACUAAAGUUGUAUAAAUAAGAAAAAGGAAAUUUAAUGAGAGAAACUAUAUAUUUAGUGCAUGUAUUAUAAGAAUAUAAAAUAUACAUUAGUUUUCCAAGCAGGAUGUGAUUUAAUCACCUUUUUAAAAAUCACCUUUUGUCUUCCUAUAAAUUGAAUGUCCUCUCCUGACAUUUUAAUACACUUAUAUCUCCAGCCUCUUUGAAUGUUCUGCAUUCAUUUCUAGGUCAGGCGUUCCCAUCUUCAAAGCAUUUAUUCUGUCAUCAUUAAAUGUGGAAUUAAAAGAGGUUUUAGUUACUUCAAUAAUAUUCAAUCUGAUCAUUUACAGUGAAAUACAGCUUAAAACUUAUAAGCAAGUCAGUAAAUUAAAAGAAAUGACAAGACAAAGUUAAGGUGAUUAACAUAUGUGCUUUAAUUUUCCAGAAAUCAACAAAAUCAAUAAAUAAUUUUGGCAAGGACAUAAAUAGCCUGAAUCAUUUAGGUGUGAUCUAAAAUUAUAGAAAUAAUGUGAAUAUUAUUUUUUCUUAGGAAAAAAAAUUAACUGGUAUUUUCCUGAAUGAGCUAUGGUAAGGAAAAGUUGGUAUUUCUCAUUGAUUGAGCAAAGAACACUUUAGAAGGAGUGUGCACGUUUUUCAGUUUGAUUUUUGUGGCAACCUCUUAAAAUGGCCUGGUGAAAUUUAUGAAAGCCUUUUAAUGUUAUCUUGUUAGAAAAGGCCUUUCUGAGAAGUAACCAAAGAAAAAGUUCUUUAUUUAAAGGAAACAGAUUCUGUCAUGCUUUACUUCAUGUAUGUUUUCCAUGCUAAAAGAUAUAUGCACUUUAAAUGUUGGUAUUUCAAAUGAAAGUUACAUCAGAUAUAAAAGAAAUCCCCCAAGAAGCAUAAGAAAUGUGGGGCAGUAACUGUCAAGCAUUGUGAAGUAGGAGACUCCCAUAAACUAAGCAUAGGAUCCAAGAGAUUUAGUUCAGAAAGUGUCCAUUCUGCUCUCCUUUUUCUCCCUCAUUUUACAGUCAGUCUUUUUCCCUCCCAAAGGAAAAAUACAAUGAUUGAAUUUUAAUUUUUAAUUUCUUAGAGAUGAUUCUCAUUAGUUACUGGACUUGAUGCUGUGAUUUCAAACAUGAGGAUCAGGGUACAUGUCCUGAAAAGAUUACAGACUAAUAAAAGAACCUGAGACUCAGGAUUAAUUACAAGUCACUGUCACUGAUGGCAAGUCAAAUAAAAUUUCCAAUAUACAGUUUUACCUACAUAUAUUGUAAAUUUGUCUGAUUCAAUCUAGGAUUAUACCAAAAAGAAUGAUUAAAAUACCACAGAAUAAAAGAAGGAGAAGUAAAAUAAAACUAAACCAUUGUAGGCCCCCAAACUGAUGUGAAUAUGUAGUGUAAUAGAAUGACAGAUAAAACUAUGAAUCUUAGAAUUUGGAAGGAUAGAAAUUUAAACAUCUUUUAUAAGUUUAUUAGAAUAUUUAAAUAAUAAGAUUCUGGUAGUUUAAAAGAUUAAUCUAGAAAUUCUAGGGUCUUCCUUCAAUACAUACACAUAUAAAUAAGUGUGUGUGCACUCAUUUGAACUUUUUUUUUUCCUUUUAAAUCCCUGUGCUAUAUCCAUGUAGAGAUGCCAGUUCAGUGUUGCCUAAGCAGAAUAAAGAUAGUAAUAAACCAGUACCCCUAGAACUUGCUAAUGACUAUUAAAUAUGAAUUUAAUAAUUUUUUUAAAAAAUGGAUUUUGAUACUCUAGUUUCUCUUCAGAUUGCAUAAAUCUUUUGCUUUUAAAAAUGGAUUUCGGGGGUGCGUGGGUGGCUCAGUGGGUUGAGUCUCUGCCUUAGGCUCAGGUCAUGAUCUCAGGGUCCUGGGAUCGAGCGCCGCAUCAGCCUCUCUGCUUAGAAGCAAGACUGCUUCCCCACCUCACCCCUUUCUGCCUGCCUCUCAUCCUGCUUGUGAUCUCGCUCUCUCCCUGUCAAAUGAAUAAAUAAAAUCUUUAAAAAUGGAUUCCUGCUUAUUAAGCAAAAUCCUCCUGAAAAUGUAUCUCCACCACAGAAAUGAGAAUGAUUAUACAAUUAAUUUAACCAGAUUCUAAUGUGCAAUGUUCACUGGAGUAUUUUUUUAAUACUCGAAACAUUUUUCAUCAGCCAUCAACUCAAAAAAUAGAAGUAAAAGUAGCUACUAUCCAGGUCAAAGUAUAUUUUUAAUAUACAAAAUUUAGUACUUAAUACUCAAAUAUAGAGGAAUCUUCUAGUUCUCUUUUUCUUAUUGAUUUCUGACAUAGAACAUAUUCUGUAUGAAUUUAAUCUUUUGAAAUGUGUUAAAAUUUGCUUGAAGGCCUUUCAUAUGGUCACUUAAAAAAUUGUUCCAUGUGUGUUGUAAUAGAUUAUGCAUUGUACAGAUGUUGGGUGGGUGCUCUAUAAAUAUUCACUAGAUCAAGUGUAGUAAUUACGUUGUUCAAAUUUUCUAUAUCCUUGUUUUUUACUUUGUUGUUCACCCAACUUCUAAAAGAGAUGUUUGGGAAAAAUCUCAUACUAUGACUGUGGAUUUUCGUACUUCUCCAUUUGAAUUUGUCAGUUUUUGUCUAUGUAUUUGGAAAUUUAGAGUAAUUAUAUCUUCUUGGUGAAUUGAACCUAUUAUCAUUAUGAUCUAAUCUCACUUCUAUUAAAUGAUGCCUUUUGCUUUAAAGCCUGAUUUAUCUAAUAUAAGAACCACCUUUCUUUUAGUUUUUACAUGGUGUAUAGUACUUGAUUUUCUUCUUUCAACAUCACAGAAUCCUUAUAUUUUUAUGUGCCUCUUGUAAAAAAAAUUGUUUGUGUUUCCUAAAAUCUCAAAAUCUUUAUUUCAACUGAAGUAGUUUGCCCGCCUACAUGAAAUAUAACAAUGGUCUAUUUGAGUUUAAAUAAACAUCUGGCUAUGUAUUUACUCUUUA
Long non-coding RNA from Mustela lutreola (European mink), 8924 nucleotides. RefSeq lists it as uncharacterized. Lineage: Eukaryota; Metazoa; Chordata; Mammalia; Carnivora; Mustelidae. The transcript has 3 exons. The record is from RefSeq and is a predicted model, not a curated record.